This 484-nucleotide ribosomal RNA is filed under the name uncultured bacterium. RNAcentral's name for it is "partial 16S ribosomal RNA". It matches the Rfam family "Bacterial small subunit ribosomal RNA", at positions 29 to 507 of the family's 1533-position model. The record is from RNAcentral.
AUUGAACGCUGGCGGCAUGCUUUACACAUGCAAGUCGAACGGCAGCGCGGGCUUCGGCCUGGCGGCGAGUGGCGAACGGGUGAGUAAUACAUCGGAACGUGCCCAGUAGUGGGGGAAAGCUCGGCGAAAGCCGGAUUAAUACCGCAUACGACCUGAGGGUGAAAGCGGGGGAUCUUCGGACCUCGCGCUAUUGGAGCGGCCGAUGGCAGAUUAGCUAGUUGGUGGGGUAAAGGCCUACCAAGGCGACGAUCUGUAGCUGGUCUGAGAGGACGACCAGCCACACUGGGACUGAGACACGGCCCAGACUCCUACGGGAGGCAGCAGUGGGGAAUUUUGGACAAUGGGCGAAAGCCUGAUCCAGCAAUGCCGCGUGUGUGAUGAAGGCCUUCGGGUUGUAAAGCACUUUUGGCGGGAACGAAAAGGACUGUGCCAAUACCACGGUUCGAUGACGGUACCCGCAGAAUAAGCACCGGCUAACUACGUG